This is a long non-coding RNA of Sycon ciliatum, 355 nucleotides long. RefSeq lists it as uncharacterized. The transcript is spliced from 3 exons. The record is from RefSeq and is a predicted model, not a curated record. Lineage: Eukaryota; Metazoa; Porifera; Calcarea; Leucosolenida; Sycettidae.
GGUCUCAGCACACAACCGGCGGGUCCCCUAGUACCCAUCGAGUGCAGAACAGGUUAUCUGUCUAACAAUAGUAUGGAAAUAACCCAGUCUACAUGCCAGGGCAAUGGAAGAUGGCAACCAAGUCAACCAUUGUGUGAAAGCUGCUCUAUGGUUUGCAAUAAUGCCAGUGUUACCAGCUGUGCCAGGAUCACUGUGUCUAACAUACAAGGCAUAAAUUGCCCAUGUAACAGUAUUGAUGAAAUCUGGACAAGGUCUGCUCAGGACUGUGUGCCAACCCAUUGCCCAGCUCAAGAAGGAAACUCCCUCUUCGAUGAUAUUCCGAGAUUGAAAGUGAAUAAUUCUACGUAUGUGGCUU